AUGGGAAAGAGGAAAACAGGAUAGAAGACUGCAGGAUCUAUCACCAUGUUUCCAACUACUCCGCAUAGACAUGCAAAACAUGAAGAAUCUCCCUCCUGUUGGCACAAUUAUGAAUGCCAUGAAGGUGGCUUCUUUUUUUGUGGAGUCUAGGACAAUCUACGUCCAAGGAAAUUUAGAGUCUUUUGAGGAGCUACUUGUCAACAGUCUAGUUGAGGACAGAAUUUUUCUAGCUUAAAAGACUGCUAGAGCCAGGCAUGGUGGCACACAUCUGUAAUUCUAGCAUUCAGAAGGAUAAGAUCAGAAGAUCAUUAAUUCACUUCCAGCUUGGGAUAUACAGCAAGCCCAAGGAUAACUUGACUACAGAACAAGACUGCUACAGUAGAUGUUGCUUUGAAAAUGAGUCACAAAUAACAGACACAUAGCAAAACUCAGUAUAUGUGAGGAUGAACAGAAUGCAGCAACUGUGUAGAAUAAGGUGAGCAAAUUGGUAAUCGUUUUCUGAACUCUUUACUUUAAGGCUUGUUAUAUAUUUCUUGUCUGUGUCCUAUUGAUAGCUAUAGCCAGGUGGAAGGAUCUGCCCCUUUAUUCAUCAUAAUCUAG
Molecule: long non-coding RNA, 600 nt
Filed under: Fukomys damarensis (Damara mole-rat)
Lineage: Eukaryota; Metazoa; Chordata; Mammalia; Rodentia; Bathyergidae
Description: lncRNA (ENSFDAG00000031320.1)
Source: RNAcentral